GCUUCACGCUAAAGUUGAACCAGAUUCAACUUCUGCGUCAACGUAACGUCAGGACUAGCGUCAUAUUGUAAAUCCGGCUAUAGUCUUUUGAUCCUAAUGUAUGUUGUCUUCAAAAUUUCAGAUACGAUGAGGGUGGGUGGAGCCCACACGCCCAUAAAUAUGGAGAAAAGCACAUUUUAAAAUAGCAAAUCCUCUUAUUUAUGGAGAAGUGCAACAGGGAACGACAUUUCGGAUACGGUGAGAGUGGGUGGAGUCCACACGCCCAUAAAUUAGGACGAAAGCAGUUUUAAAGUGACAAAUCCUCUUAUUUAUGGAGAAUUGCAACAGGGAACGACAUUUCGGAUACGGUGAGAGUGGGUGGAGUCC
Molecule: long non-coding RNA, 366 nt
Filed under: Amphimedon queenslandica
Lineage: Eukaryota; Metazoa; Porifera; Demospongiae; Haplosclerida; Niphatidae
Description: uncharacterized LOC109591436, transcript variant X2
Source: RNAcentral